GAUAAACGCUGGCGGCGUGCAUGAGACAUGCAAGUCGAACGAAGGAUCGGGCUUUCUCGAUCCUUAGUGGCGGACGGCUGGGUAACGCGUAGGUGACCUACCCCGAAGUGGGGAAUAACUGCCCGAAAGGGUGGCUAAUACCGCCUGUGGACGCACGCUCAUUCGUGCGAGUAAAGCGGCAAGGCGCUUCGGGAGGGGCCUGCGUCCGGUUAGCUCGUUGGUUGGGUGAUGGCUUACCAAAGCGAGGAUCGGUAGGUGGGCGGAGAGGACGAUCACCCAGACUGGGACUGAGACACAGACCCGACUCCUACGGGAGGCUGCAGACGGUAAUUUUACUCAAGGGGGGAAGCCCUGAAGCAGCAGCGCCGCGUGAGGGAUGAAGGCCUUCGGGUUGUAAACCUCUUUUGUCAGAGACGAUGAUGACGGUACCUGGCGAAUAAGCCACGGCUAACUACGUG
Molecule: ribosomal RNA, 458 nt
Filed under: uncultured bacterium
Lineage: Bacteria
Description: partial 16S ribosomal RNA
Rfam family: Bacterial small subunit ribosomal RNA
Source: RNAcentral